GUUGUCUGAUUUAGACCUUCUUUAACGUGAAGAGAAGAAAAUGGCGACCACGUUGCUGGUGUCGGUCGGACUGUCGGGUAAAGUGACGAUUAUCAUUACCGGCUUACGAAAAGUCGAUAAUAACUCGUGCCACAUACCCGUACCUAAACAGCAGUGCAAACGUGGAGUAUAGAUUGUCGAUUUUUCGUCGGGGAGAAGGAAACAGUUUUCCACAGUUUUAGUUAUUAAAGUAAGAACCGUAGGUCGUAGAAUGAAAAAAACUACUGCCUUUGAGUUCUGUAAGACGUAAUUAAUAGUACUCGAGUAGCCCCAUCAAUUCGAACAGUUGCUUGUAAUUUUGGCCUCGACGGAAUUUAAGACAGGACCUUCGUCAAGAGCAAAUGAUAAAUAGGUUCCCAGCCUACAACAUUUUGUUUUAGGUGGAACCGUGGAAUGGUGUGGAUUACAAGUAGUGAAGCCAUAAAUGGGAAAUGGUAUUGCUUUAACACACAAAAUUUCUUGAAUCUUUGUUUAGUUAUUAACUGUGUUGUGUGAAGUAGAGAAGGCAAGUUCUGCACAACAAGACAUUUAGAAAUGAGAAUGAAAAUAUUUGGGUUACGACCGGCAUGGGCGCAAAUACUGAUUCAUUGUAAGAUGCAUCUAUGUCGAAGAAACUGGCAGUCUGGAAGAAAUUGACGGCGGUGAUAAUAAAUAAAUAAAAAU
This 702-nucleotide long non-coding RNA is filed under the name Daphnia pulicaria. RNAcentral describes it as "uncharacterized LOC124314310, transcript variant X2". The record is from RNAcentral. Lineage: Eukaryota; Metazoa; Arthropoda; Branchiopoda; Diplostraca; Daphniidae.